UACGGAGGAUGCGAGCGUUAUCCGGAUUUAUUGGGUUUAAAGGGUGCGUAGGCGGUCCGUUAAGUCAGCGGUAAAAUUGCGGGGCUCAACCCCGCCCAGCCGUCGGAACUGCCGGGCUAGAGUGGGCGAGAAGUGCGCGGAAUGCGUGGUGUAGCGGUGAAAUGCAUAGAUAUCACGCAGAACUCCGAUUGCGAAGGCAGCGCACCGGCGCCCUACUGACGCUCAGGCACGAAAGCGUGGGUAUCGAACAGG
RNAcentral lists this ribosomal RNA (252 nucleotides) under uncultured bacterium. Its description in RNAcentral is "partial 16S ribosomal RNA". It matches the Rfam family "Bacterial small subunit ribosomal RNA", at positions 524 to 776 of the family's 1533-position model. The record is from RNAcentral.